GUCUUACCCGUUCCUGUGAAAUCAGUGGCUGGAUGAAGAAGAGAGGCCUGAAGGGAAGCUUGCCGCUUACAGGACAUCAGCCCUUCUGCAGGCAGAGAGGCAGUAACCAUCCACCUGACCCCCAAAAAGACGCUUGAUGCUAGGCGCCAACAUUUUAAAUCCGCCUCAACUGUUUGCUUCCUUCCGCCGUGACAAGUUUCUCCCUCCUUGGGCGCAAUGAGCACGCGGUGUGAUCCGGCUCUCGGACGCUUCCCUUCGCUCCGUGAGCUUCCAGGUAAAGCACGCUAUGCUCGUUCGGGUCUUGGAUUUUGCGUGCGUGCUCAUGCAGCCUUUCUCUUCCCGGCAGGUGCAGAAAUUGUUCGGCGCGUGAAACGUGCGAACUGGCGGCGCGUGGAGGGAGGUAAUGGAAGAAUUGUCAAAUCAUGCCCAGGACAAUGUAACCGGGGAUCUCAGGAGUGAAGAAAAACAGGUAAGAGAUGCAGAUCUACAGUUCUGCCUCCACCAAAAGACUCAGGUUGAAGAAGAAAACCAGGCCCAGGAGAGAGGAAAGACUAUCAUUAAGGGAAACGGGAGAUGAACGAAACAGCUCUCUGUGACCUAAACCAUUGUAUUUACUGAACCUUUCGAUUAUAACUGUGGCUGUUAAGAAAAAUGCAGCAGAAAGAAUUAGAGGAAUGAGAAGAACACGAUUCCCUUUAUUCAUUUAACCUUUGCUUUAUAUGAAAUUCUCCAAUUCCAGCUCGUUUUCACUGCAAAGAAUAAAA
Molecule: long non-coding RNA, 764 nt
Filed under: Apteryx owenii (little spotted kiwi)
Lineage: Eukaryota; Metazoa; Chordata; Aves; Apterygiformes; Apterygidae
Description: lncRNA (ENSAOWG00000005505.1)
Source: RNAcentral